RNAcentral lists this ribosomal RNA (253 nucleotides) under uncultured bacterium. Its description in RNAcentral is "partial 16S ribosomal RNA". It matches the Rfam family "Bacterial small subunit ribosomal RNA", at positions 524 to 776 of the family's 1533-position model. The record is from RNAcentral.
UACGGAGGAUGCAAGCGUUAUCCGGAAUGAUUGGGCGUAAAGCGUCCCCAGGUGGUUGUGUGUGUCUAUUGUCAAAGCAUCAUGCUUAACAUGAUAAAGGCAGUAGAAACUACACGACUAGAGUGCGUUCGGGGCAGAGGGAAUUCCUGGUGUAGCGGUGAAAUGCGUAGAGAUCAGGAAGAACACCGGUGGCGAAAGCGCGCUGCGAGGCCGCAACUGACCCUGAGGGACGAAAGCUAGGGGAGCGAAUGGG